UACCCAGGAGGCUGGGCACACUUGGUCACACUCAGCCCGCACUGCCUGUAGACACAACUAUUCCACCAUUCUGUCUAUAGGAAGUCUCCCACCCCUCUCCAGCAAUUGUCCAAGGUAAAGACAGAGAUUUGUGGGUGACCUUGUAUUUGAAAAUACAAUAGGGUUUGGGAUCAGAAGAGUAGAGUUUAAAUAAUUUUUAUGCUGUUUACUGGCAGUGUGCCCUGUGCAAGUUCUUAAACUUCACUGUCCCUUGGAACCCUCAUUUUUCAAAUAAGGGUAUUAACAUCUCAUAUGGCUGGAAAGCCUAACUGAGCUGGUAGAGAGAAGCACCCAGAACAGAAACAACAAAGUUGUCACUCAAAUGUUUCUUUUCUUCCUUAUCCAGAUUCUCUGGAUACACCUCCUCUCACCCUCCAUUUAACUCUGGAAAUACAGGAUAUGGGACACAGCUGCUCCUGGUUCUCAGGCCUUUAGAUUCUGGAUUGGAACUAUACCACCAGCCCGCUUUCCUGGGCCUCCAGCUUGCGGAUGGCAGAUUGUGGGACUUCUCAGUCUCCAUAACCAUGUGAGCCAAUCCCUGAUAAUAGAACUCCUUUUAUAUAUACCUAUAAAUAGUCUAUUGUUUGUUUCUUUGGCGAA
Molecule: long non-coding RNA, 639 nt
Organism: Lontra canadensis (Northern American river otter)
Lineage: Eukaryota; Metazoa; Chordata; Mammalia; Carnivora; Mustelidae
Exons: 2
Source: RefSeq, a predicted model, not a curated record